Long non-coding RNA from Aedes aegypti (yellow fever mosquito), 553 nucleotides. RefSeq lists it as uncharacterized. The record is from RefSeq and is a predicted model, not a curated record. The transcript is spliced from 3 exons. NCBI's taxonomy places the organism in Eukaryota, Metazoa, Arthropoda, Insecta, Diptera, Culicidae.
UAUUUCUGGCAUUUGGUUCUAUAUAAUUCUUCUGGGUGUUUUCUUUUUGCCAUUUGCCGCGGCUACCGUUCUGCUGUCUAUAAAACCGCGCAAGAAGGAGAACGAAACCGUGGGUCGAUUCGGCGCUGAUUCGAUGCCAUGGUGAAGCAGAGUCGUAUGAUGGGAGUUGCGCGAAAGAUACCGUCCGAAAAUAAAAGAAUAUGACAACGAUUUCAUCGGUGAAGAAGAGUCUGCGCGAACACAUCUCGUAGCGGAGUGUACCUACUGUGCAUAUAUGCUCUAUUUAUCGAAUCGCAAGUGAAUGCAGACAAGAGCGUAUCUUCGGGGAUUGGGAGAGGUUGGAACAGUGGGUCAAAUCUGACCUAGACAAGCAAGCACAACAACAACAACAACGUGCGUGAAGCUUGCAAGCCAACAACCGGUGCACAGUGUGUGAGUUUGGGAGAAAAAACGGACACAAUUCAGCCGGAGAUCGGACGACUGAUGAAAAAUAUGCUUUUUUAAACAAACAAUUACGAGGAAUGGAGUGGUGCCCAUCUCUUUUCUGUAAAAC